This is a long non-coding RNA of Mauremys reevesii (Reeves's turtle), 1185 nucleotides long. RefSeq lists it as uncharacterized. The transcript has 5 exons. The record is from RefSeq and is a predicted model, not a curated record. Lineage: Eukaryota; Metazoa; Chordata; Testudines; Geoemydidae.
CACUGUUGCAUUUCAUCUUGUUGCCGGCAUUGGGCUCCCUAUGGCAAUCUGGUCUUUUCUCUUCAAUCUAAAUACAUUUGGAUUUGAAAGAAAUAAAAAAGAGUCUAGGAACUCAAAACACUACGCUGGCUUUAGAAGCAACUACAAGAAGUGAAAGGGCAGACUGCAAGACUCACACCGCACCAUACUGGGGCUGGGAGAUAAGAGUUCACUUGGCCAGUCUCUAAGGAACAGACAGCAGCAGUGAGAAAGUGACAGGUCACAGACCGUGGCGAAGGUUCAUUACCAACAUUACAGAAAGAUGGCUCCCCCCAUGUUACCGAUAGCGAAACAGACACGAGGGAGAGAAAGUGAUAUUCCUUGAGACAACAGAGCCCAGGCUGGAGUUGAGAACAAAUCAUAGGCUCUUAAUUUUGUUCUCUGGCCUAACAGAUACCAGGAAUCUUUAAGCCAAUUGCCAACCAAAUUUUAGUUUUGAGUUUCACAACAUGCAAGUAUCCAUCACAGGAACAAGAGAAAGAUACAAAGUAAUAUAUGAUUGAAGAAUGUGUUCCGCAGGAUGCCAAAAAUGCUCAUAUGCAGACUAGAAAGACUCCAGGGCAGAAUUUUUAAAGCAGCGAUACAGGCCCACACAAGACGCCCAUCUGUCCAACAAGGCUCCCACCAAUGGAACUUGCUGGUGACACGAUGUAUGAAUGGUGAGCCGUCUCAGACUGGGAAAGGCUGCAGCUGCCAGGAGUACAGAGAAGUCAGUCAGCUCCACGUGAGUGAAAUCAGCCUCAGAACUCAGAGCUAAUGUGGAACACAGAGGACUGCCCUUAUGUUUACAGACAGUUCUGUAAGUAACUGCUGUGCACUGCCAUCCAAAGGGUACAUUCACAGAUGGGCAAACUUCCAUACAUGGAACAUUUUGCCGUUAGGCAAGAGUAUACUAGCAGUCACUUGGCAGCAACUGCUAUCCCUAUAUUGAUGCACCCAUUUUCAUAACUUUUCCCCAAAAACUGCCUUUUGGGAUGAAGUUCUUCAGACUUAUGCUCUGCCCAAUGGUGAAUUUUUAAGAAGAGUUUGAGCAAAGAGGAAUUUUUAUGAAGAGUUUGUGAAAGGAAGAAGGGGAAAGGGGUUAAAAAAAUCCCUCUCCUUUUUAAAAAUGUAACCCCCUUUUCCUCCCAGAUCAUCAGACCUUAA